Neocloeon triangulifer is the source of this 255-nucleotide long non-coding RNA. RefSeq lists it as uncharacterized. Lineage: Eukaryota; Metazoa; Arthropoda; Insecta; Ephemeroptera; Baetidae. The transcript has 3 exons. The record is from RefSeq and is a predicted model, not a curated record.
CAUCACUGUAAAUUAGUCGCAGUAAAGCAGUGCUAUAGGUCAAACAAAAAAUGAAAUUCAUAUUCAUGGGAAUAUUUCUGAGCGUAACAUUUUCUUUAGUGAAAUCCAGUGGGGUGGUUAUGGCGCAAAAACAUUUACAAUUAGUGAAAGUUAAAAUUAUAACAGCAAAACGAUCUAAUGCAACUAGAAGAACGAUGAUAGUUCAAUGCUGCGGGAAUAAGCAUCAGUGCACAUCAAGCAGUAACUCGAAUUACC